RNAcentral lists this ribosomal RNA (254 nucleotides) under uncultured bacterium. RNAcentral describes it as "partial 16S ribosomal RNA". It matches the Rfam family "Bacterial small subunit ribosomal RNA", at positions 524 to 776 of the family's 1533-position model. The record is from RNAcentral.
UACGGAGGGUGCAAGCGUUAUCCGGAAUCACUGGGUUUAAAGGGUGCGUAGGCGGUUUUAUAAGUCAGUCGUGAAAAGCUCCGGCUUAACCGGUAGUCGUGCGAUUGAUACUGUGAGACUUGAAUCAGGUUGAGGUAGGCGGAAUGUGGCAUGUAGCGGUGAAAUGCAUAGAUAUGCCAUAGAACACCGAUUGCGAAGGCAGCUUGCUGGACCUGUAUUGACGCUGAGGCACGAAAGCGUGGGGAGCAAACAGG